CCCAAUCUGGCUGUUCCACGGCUCGGUUCCCUCCUUGUCUUCGGCCUCUUUGCUGGAACUUUCACGCAGCGUCUCUGGCUUUGGCUGAGUCACGGUAAGCUCUAUCAGCUAUCAUCCUCUCCUCUGAAUCUGGAAACAAUGGAGAGUUCACAUUCAAGAGCAUCCCUGGCCGCCUCGGCUCUGGAAGCCCCACUCUGUCAACUAAUGACUCCCUGUGCUUGCAGCUUCCGUCCGUGACUUCUACUCCAAGUUCACUAACCACUCCCAGCCACGGUCCUAGGAUGUCUCUGUAGAGGAGGACUGUUGAUACCCGAUGAACUGUAGACUGACACAGCAAGGGCUGGGGAGAUAACUCAGUUGGGUUCAAGGCCCCAAAACCCACAUGGGGUCAGGCAUAGUAGCACACAUGUGUGAUCUUAGUGUUCCUAUGGUGAGAGGCGAGGUGAAAACAGGAAUUCCCCAGAGCUUGAAGGCUGCAAAAGACCCUCUCUCAAGGUAGAAGGCAAAGACUGACACCUGAGAUUGUCCUCUGCCCAACCAUGCAUUCCAUGGAGUGCAUGUAUCUGCACUCACAUACAUGAACAGUAUCCACACAUGCACAGUAACAUGCCAUGGGCUAGGGAUGUGGCUUAGUUGGCAGAGUGCUUGCAUAGUGUGCAUGAAGCCCUGGGUUCCAUUCCGAGCACUGAAUACACUGGACAUGAUGUUCAGGUGGUGCAGGUAGGAGGAUCAGGAGUUCAAGGCCAUCCUCUGCUAAGUAGGUAGUUCCAGGCUAUAAGGAGAGUCUCAAAAACAAGAUCUGUCAUAGCAGUGGUUGCCAGGUUGGCGGUGGAGGACAGGUGAACAGUUCUGUGCACUCUUUACGUGGUGUCUCUUGUAUCUGCUCUAUGUGAAUGCUGUCAUUCCUGGAAAUAAUUAGAUCACAAGGCCCCUGAGGAUGGGGACUGUACCCUUGAACUGUGUAUAUGAUGCUUACACCUGAGGCCGCACCAGGGAUUUAUCACAAGAAUGCAGGGAAGGGGUCAAAAACUGCCUGGGUCUCUGGCAGCCUCAUGGUGAAGAUACAUGUCUAUUUAGACAGUCUUCCUAUGUAGCCCAGGCAGGACUAGAACUCACAGUGACCUUCCCAAGGACUGGGAUUACAAAUGUGCAUCAUCAAGCCAGUCACCGACCUGUUUCUUUAAAUUCUAGCUGCCAGACUAUAUGUUGGUGGAGUAUUAAAGAUGGUCAUGAACUCCAUGCAGGUGCUUUUGCCUUUUGCAUUCUGUCCUAAAGCUCCUCCUCUGCACCCCUGACUCAAACUCCAAUACUGGGCAUUGAACCAGGGCCAUAAACAUGCUUAGCCAAUGCUAUGUUGGUCUCACCUCUUACAGGAAUUCUUGGGAUUCAGUUCUACCUCUGAACCACGCUUCCAGCCCCUCACUGGGGGAUUCUAGGCAGGUGCUCUACCACUGAGCCACACCCCAGCCCCUCACUGGGAAUUCUAGGCAGGUGCUCUACUACUGAGCUACACCCUAGCCCCUCACUGGGAAUUCUAGGCAGGUGCUCUACCACUGAGCCACAACCCAGUCCCUCACUGGGGGAUUCUAGGCAGGUGCUCUACCACUGAGCUACACCCCAGCCCCUCCCUGGGGGAUUCUAGGCAGGUGCUCAACCACUGAGCCACACCCCAGCCCCUCACUGGUGGAUUCUAGAUGCUCUACCACUGAGCUACACUCUUAGCCCUUGUUUUAUGUCUUAUUUUGAUACAUGGUCUAACUAUGUAGUCCAAGAUGACCUUAAAAUGAUGAUCCUCCUGCCUCAGCCUGCUUGCUGAGUGCUAGACUGACAGACCCGUACCACCACACCCACCUAUUUUAUGUCUCAAGUCUCCCGCAGUAAUAGAUUUAUGCCCACCUGCAGCUGAUUACUACCCAUACAAAAAUUGUGUGACUUGAAGACACAAAAUUAGAAAAGAAAAACGAGACCCAUUGAGAGCAUGCUAAAGACAGCCCCUGCAAGGAUGUUUCCAGCCUUCCAUCAGAAGAAUUCUGUUAUUGAUGCCGAGCGUGCAGGCUGUGCAUUGAUUUCCUCUACCCACAGAGGCCGCCGCCUCUCAGCAUGCAGUGCGGUCACCAACACGAAAUGGGUCCACACGCUCCUCCUCCCACCGUGAGGCUCUUUGGCCUGUGGCCAGAGCCAAAGCCUCCCAAGCGAACUCAGCCCCUCAGACUGACAGUUGUGGAGGUGUUUCUCUGGGCAGUGGAGUGGCAAGAGAGGACAAAAGGGACAGCAGGGGACCAGCCGGUGCACAGGCAUGGAAAGGGAAACCGGAGAAUCUAAAGACAGCCCCCAGCCUCUUUAGCUCUUUAGCAUGGGCUCCAGUGACCGUUUCUUAGUUUCUGCAGAUGGUGACAUCCAGGGCAGGGGAACUGAGCAUCCUCCAGCCGCCACUGCCACUUCUGACUAUACAAAAUGACUUUGUUAUAAAAGGCUGGUCUGUGCAGCAGCCUUGACAGCCGGAUUCCGUUCCCCCCACCCCUCUCUGGCUGGUCCAUUGGAAAUGCCUGGUUGCAGUUUCCAAGUGCAGCAGCAAAGGGCACUGACAGACUCAACGGGGUGACUUUGGAUUCUCCUGUGCUCUUUUUCGUUUGAUUGUUUUUGUUUUUGUUUUUUGUUUUGUUUUUGAGACAGGGUUUCUCUGUGUAGCUUUGAAACCUGUCCUGGAACUCGCUUUGUAGACUAGGCUGGCCUCGAACUCACAGAGUGCCUCCCAAGUACUAGGAUUAAAGGCGUGUGCCACCACCA
This is a long non-coding RNA of Peromyscus californicus insignis, 2787 nucleotides long. RefSeq lists it as uncharacterized. NCBI's taxonomy places the organism in Eukaryota, Metazoa, Chordata, Mammalia, Rodentia, Cricetidae. The transcript is spliced from 2 exons. The record is from RefSeq and is a predicted model, not a curated record.